AUCCGACUCUAAUCUAUACCUAUACAUUAUUCCCCCAAAAAAAAGCCACGAGGCGGAAUUUCCUUCCUUUAGCGAAACCAACUUUUCGGCUUCCCUUCACCUAUAACAUUUAAUUAAUAGUCCACUAAGCUUAACCUAACCCUUCGCCUUUCCUAUACACAUAACGCCGGCUUCCCUCCGCCUAUAAUAUCUAAUUCUUCCCUCCACCUAUAACAUCUAAUUAAUAGCCCACUCAUCUUAAUCCAACCCUUCGUCUUUCCUACAAACAUAACGUUUAAUUAAUAGUCCACUCACCUUAAUCCAACCCUUCACCUUUCCUACAAACAUAACGUCUAAUUAAUGGUUCACCUACUUUAAUCCUAAUCUAAACAGUAAAUUGUAGAAACCUACGAAAAGCCCAAUUCUCUUCUUCUCUAUUAUCUUUUCCUCCUCCAUGAGCUCCGAGGCUAAGAUCAAGCACGUUAUGUAGAUGGAGUAUAAAUUUGCACGCUGCAUCGUCGAGCUUAGCGUUACCAUCUUCAUCAAAUCGAGCUUUCCUUCAAAUUUCAGGAGUUAUUUUAAAAGAUUAAUGUAUUCUUUAUGUUGUAUCGUUGAAAUUUCUUAGAUAGUUUUAUUCAGUUUUUUAAAGUUUUUUUUAUUUGCAUGGUAUUCAAACUAAUGUGUUUGUUAUGUUGA
Molecule: long non-coding RNA, 675 nt
Filed under: Ananas comosus (pineapple)
Lineage: Eukaryota; Viridiplantae; Streptophyta; Magnoliopsida; Poales; Bromeliaceae
Description: long non-coding RNA (ACOM_LNC017405)
Source: RNAcentral